This 440-nucleotide ribosomal RNA is filed under the name uncultured bacterium. RNAcentral describes it as "partial 16S ribosomal RNA". It matches the Rfam family "Bacterial small subunit ribosomal RNA", at positions 339 to 795 of the family's 1533-position model. The record is from RNAcentral.
CUACGGGGGGCUGCAGUGGGGAAUAUUGGGCAAUGGGCGCAAGCCUGACCCAGCAACGCCGCGUGAGGGAAGAAGGUUUUCGGAUUGUAAACCUCUGUCCUUGGGGACGAAGAAGUGACGGUACCCAAGGAGGAAGCUCCGGCUAACUACGUGCCAGCAGCCGCGGUAAUACGUAGGGAGAAGCGGUGUCCGGAAUUACUGGGCGUAAAGGGUGCGUAGGCAGCAUAUUAAGUCAGGUGUGAAAUACUCGGGCUCAACCCGGGGGCUGCAUUUGAAACUGAUAUUCGUGAGUGUGAGAGAGGAAAGUGGAAUUCCUAGGGUAGCGGUGGAAUGCGUAGAUAUUAGGAGGAACACCAGUGGCGAAGGCGACUUUCUGGCUCAUAACUGACGCUGAGGCACGAAAGCGUGGGGAGCAAACAGGAUUAGAUACCCGUGUAGUC